Molecule: ribosomal RNA, 729 nt
Filed under: uncultured Acidobacteriota bacterium
Lineage: Bacteria; Pseudomonadati; Acidobacteriota
Description: bacterial SSU rRNA
Rfam family: Bacterial small subunit ribosomal RNA
Source: RNAcentral
AACGCUGGCGGCGCGCCUAACACAUGCAAGUCGAGCGAGAAAGUCUCCGCAAGGGGAUGAGUACAGCGGCGCACGGGUGAGUAACACGUGGGCAAUCUGCCCUCUAGCGGGGGAUAACCCGGGGAAACCUGGGCUAAUACCGCAUAACAUCCCAUUUCCUGCGGGAGAGGGGAUCAAAGGAGCAAUCCGCUGGAGGAGGGGCCCGCGGCCGAUUAGCUGGUUGGCGGGGUCACGGCCCACCAAGGCGAAGAUCGGUAGCCGGUCUGAGAGGACGCACGGCCACACUGGGACUGAAACACGGCCCAGACUCCUACGGGAGGCAGCAGUGGGGAAUCUUGCACAAUGGGGGAAACCCUGAUGCAGCGACGCCGCGUGAGCGAUGAAGCCCUUCGGGGUGUAAAGCUCUUUCGGUGGGGACGAUAGUGACGGUACCCGCAAAAGAAGCCCCGGCUAACUACGUGCCAGCAGCCGCGGUAAUACGUAGGGGGCCAGCGUUGUUCGGAAUUACUGGGCGUAAAGAGCGCGUAGGCGGUGCGGCAGGUUCGGUGUGAAAUCUCCCGGCUUCACUGGGAGGGGUCGCCGAAAACGGCCGCGCUCGAGUACGGGAGAGGGGAGUGGAAUUCCCGGUGUAGCGGUGAAAUGCGUAGAGAUCGGGAGGAACACCAGUGGCGAAGGCGGCUCCCUGGACCGUGACUGACGCUGAGGCGCGAAAGCUAGGGGAGCAAACAG